CAGUCUCAGAAGUAGAUACAUGGAAGUUUUCCUGAGGCUUACUGAGCAGUUGAGAAUCUUAUACAGAAAUAUGGAUGAAGAUACUCAGAAGACACUGCAUGUAACACUGCCAGAAGGAGAGUCCAGAAAUGGAUCAGACUGUAUUUGGUCCAUGGAGCAAUAGUUUGGACUAGUUAAAUGUGAGCACAUGAAGUGUUGAUGUAUCUAAACCUUGGCCAUAAAAAUUGAGCUGAUGUUCCAAUUUUAUUUCUGACUGUAUAUGAUGAAACCAAUGAAUCCCUGGUCUAGGAAAGUAACUGCUUGUAUAGAGAGACAUUGUACUCAAAGUACAUUACUGUUGAACAUCAGUGGAGAUAGCAGUGUUCACCACAGUACAGGGCUAAUGCCAGCAAUAUAUAGUUUUCCUUUGUAGAAUUCUCACUCUUGAGGGUGAUACUACUGUGACAACAAGAAGAGUAGCUUCUUUGCACAAUGGACUUUCUGAAGUGAGCAAUGCAGCUACCUGAUGUACAAGUACAAGGCUUGAAAGUUUUUCUUCCUCAGGUUCUGAAUUGUUCUUUUUCUAGGAGGGCAAUUCUUA
Long non-coding RNA from Oxyura jamaicensis (ruddy duck), 580 nucleotides. RefSeq lists it as uncharacterized. The transcript is spliced from 3 exons. The record is from RefSeq and is a predicted model, not a curated record. NCBI's taxonomy places the organism in Eukaryota, Metazoa, Chordata, Aves, Anseriformes, Anatidae.